RNAcentral lists this ribosomal RNA (252 nucleotides) under uncultured bacterium. RNAcentral describes it as "partial 16S ribosomal RNA". It matches the Rfam family "Bacterial small subunit ribosomal RNA", at positions 524 to 776 of the family's 1533-position model. The record is from RNAcentral.
GACGGAGGAUGCAAGUGUUAUCCGGAAUCACUGGGCGUAAGCGUCUGUAGGUGGUUUAAAAAGUCCACUGUUAAAAAUUGAAGCUUAACUUCAAAGAUGCCGUGGAAACUUUUAAACUUGAGUAUGGUAGGGGUAGAGGGAAUUUCCGGUGGAGCGGUGAAAUGCGUAGAGAUCGGAAAGAACACCAACGGCGAAAGCACUCUGCUGGGCCGACACUGACACUGAGAGACGAAAGCUAGGGGAGCGAAUGGG